This 74-nucleotide transfer RNA is filed under the name Bacteroidetes bacterium ADurb.Bin041. RNAcentral describes it as "tRNA-Lys". It matches the Rfam family "tRNA". Rfam says of the family: Transfer RNA (tRNA) molecules are approximately 80 nucleotides in length. Lineage: Bacteria; Pseudomonadati; Bacteroidota. The record is from RNAcentral.
GAUUCAGUAGCUCAGCAGGUAGAGCAACGGCCUUUUAAGCCGUGGGUCCUGGGUUCGAAUCCCAGCUGGAUCAC